CUGAAAACAGAAGAGACGCUACUCCGCAGUUAACUGAGGGCUAACUGAUGAAGAAAUAGCGGUACUUUUGGCAGUGGAAGAUCCAAAUAUUUCUGAAUUUGAGCUGUCUGGAGAAGAAAAUGAGCUUGAUAUAGCUGUCAGAUCACAAACUCCAGCAGCUGAUGAGUAAUCAUCCAAAUCAGAUGACAAUGGGGUACCUUUGAGUGAGAGCCAACACAAAGGUACAAAAUGGAGACACACGACAGAGUUUAAUCCUGAAGUAUCAGAAUUUGCAACACCUGAUAUUCCGACUGUGAAGUCACCAUUUGAAUAUUUCACGCAAUAUAUUG
Molecule: long non-coding RNA, 329 nt
Organism: Schistocerca nitens (vagrant locust)
Lineage: Eukaryota; Metazoa; Arthropoda; Insecta; Orthoptera; Acrididae
Exons: 3
Source: RefSeq, a predicted model, not a curated record